UACGGAGGGUGCGAGCGUUGUCCGGAAUCACUGGGCGUAAAGGGCGCGUAGGCGGUCCCUUAAGCGUGUGGUGAAAGCUCAGGGCUCAACCCUGAGUCGGCCAUGCGAACUGGGGGACUUGAGCACGGUAGAGGCCAAUGGAAUUCCGGGUGUAGCGGUGGAAUGCGUAGAGAUCCGGAAGAACACCGGUGGCGAAGGCGGUUGGCUGGGCCGUGGCUGACGCUGAGGCGCGACAGCGGUGGGGAGCAAACGAGGAUUGAGAUACCCGG
This 269-nucleotide ribosomal RNA is filed under the name uncultured bacterium. Its description in RNAcentral is "partial 16S ribosomal RNA". It matches the Rfam family "Bacterial small subunit ribosomal RNA", at positions 524 to 790 of the family's 1533-position model. The record is from RNAcentral.